This 672-nucleotide ribosomal RNA is filed under the name Pantoea stewartii. RNAcentral's name for it is "bacterial SSU rRNA". It matches the Rfam family "Bacterial small subunit ribosomal RNA", at positions 108 to 775 of the family's 1533-position model. Lineage: Bacteria; Pseudomonadati; Pseudomonadota; Gammaproteobacteria; Enterobacterales; Erwiniaceae. The record is from RNAcentral.
GAGUAAUGUCUGGGAAACUGCCCGAUGGAGGGGGAUAACUACUGGAAACGGUAGCUAAUACCGCAUAACGUCGCAAGACCAAAGUGGGGGACCUUCGGGCCUCACACCAUCGGAUGUGCCCAGAUGGGAUUAGCUAGUAGGCGGGGUAAUGGCCCACCUAGGCGACGAUCCCUAGCUGGUCUGAGAGGAUGACCAGCCACACUGGAACUGAGACACGGUCCAGACUCCUACGGGAGGCAGCAGUGGGGAAUAUUGCACAAUGGGCGCAAGCCUGAUGCAGCCAUGCCGCGUGUAUGAAGAAGGCCUUCGGGUUGUAAAGUACUUUCAGCGGGGAGGAAGGCGAUGUGGUUAAUAACCGCGUCGAUUGACGUUACCCGCAGAAGAAGCACCGGCUAACUCCGUGCCAGCAGCCGCGGUAAUACGGAGGGUGCAAGCGUUAAUCGGAAUUACUGGGCGUAAAGCGCACGCAGGCGGUCUGUUAAGUCAGAUGUGAAAUCCCCGGGCUCAACCCGGGAACUGCAUUUGAAACUGGGCAGGCUUGAGUCUCGUAGAGGGGGGUAGAAUUCCAGGUGUAGCGGUUGAAAUGCGUAGAGAUCUGGAGAGUACCGGUGGCGAAGCGGCCCCCUGGACGACGACUGACGCUCAAGUGCGAAGCGGUGGGGGAGGCAACAG